Non-coding RNA from Microcebus murinus (gray mouse lemur), 747 nucleotides. NCBI's taxonomy places the organism in Eukaryota, Metazoa, Chordata, Mammalia, Primates, Cheirogaleidae. The record is from RefSeq and is a predicted model, not a curated record.
UUGGCGGGCGUGCUGGGGGCCUGGGCCGCCUGCCCGUUCUUCUCGUCUGAAAAAAGUUGUUUAAUUACGUCAAAGAAGUUACUCAAUGGGCUGCCUGGGUACACAGAACAGAGACAAAAAAAAGAGAAAAGAAAAGGAAAGAGGAAGGGAGGGAAGGAGAGAGAAAGAACAAACAAACAAAUGAACGAAGGGGCCUCCACAGAGAAGGGAAAACCCAACGAGACAAUCCUGGCCUCAGUUUCCCUCCCUGAGAGAGAGGGCUUAUUUCUUAAGAGCUCAAGGAGUCAGAGGCUGCUACAGGUUGACAGUGCGGCCUCCAGCACUGAAGAUGCCCGUGUGUCCUGCUGCCCGGGAACCUGCCCACCGUGCCAGCCCCUGGGGCCGGGGUUAGGGCUGAGGCUGCUGGGAGCUCAGCCUCCACCCACCUAUGGGUGAGCCCAGCAAAGCCAGGCGAGUCCCGCCUGGGACGUGGACAGCCACUGGCAGAGCGAGGCCAGCGCAGUGUGGUGGGAAGACAAGACAGGAGACAGAGCCCCGGGCCCAGGGGUGUUUGCCCAGAGGCAGCAGAUGCCCAGCUGCUCCUUUGCCGCCCUGCCCCCAUGGGGCUGCAUGGCGGCCUGCACGUCACCACCAGGUCCCAGAGAAGCGUCACCCCUCCGAGGCCUGUCCAGGCGAGCGGCCUGCUGCACGGGGCUCACCGACAGGAAGGCGUGGACGAUGUCGGCCUUGAUGGAGCUCAGCGGCUUG